This 776-nucleotide ribosomal RNA is filed under the name uncultured Neocallimastigales. Its description in RNAcentral is "partial large subunit ribosomal RNA". It matches the Rfam family "Eukaryotic large subunit ribosomal RNA", at positions 26 to 618 of the family's 3401-position model. The record is from RNAcentral. Lineage: Eukaryota; Fungi; Neocallimastigomycota; Neocallimastigomycetes; Neocallimastigales.
CGUCUAUAUACGUAUAGCAUAUCAAUAAGCGGAGGAAAAGAAACUAACAAGGAUUCCCUUAGUAACGGCGAGUGAAGCGGGAAGAGCUCAAAUUUGAAAUCUUCAAGGUUCUACCUUGACGAAUUGUAGUUUAAAGAAGUGUUUUCUGUUAGAGGAGUAGGCAAAAGUUCCUUGGAAUGGGACAUCAUAGAGGGUGAGAAUCCCGUAUUUGGUUAUUCUUUCUAGCUUUGUGAUACACUUUCAAAGAGUCGGAUUGUUUGGGAAUGCAGUCCAAAAUGGGUGGUAAAUUUCAUCUAAAGCUAAAUAUUGGCGAGAGAACGAUAGCGAACAAGUACCGUGAGGGAAAGAUGAAAAGAACUUUGAAAAGAGAGUUAAACAGUACGUGGAAUUGUCAAAAGGGAAGCGUUUGACACCAGUGUUGUUUUUCCGAAAAUCAAUUAAGAGUGGCUUGAUUUUGUGUUGUAUUGACCUUAUCAGCUUUCUUCACUCUUUUUCGAGUCUUUCUUAAUGCACUUUUCGGUUAACAAGUCAACAUCAAUUUCUUUUGUUGUAAAAGGGUAUUUGGAAGGUGGCUUUCUUUUCGGAGAAAGUGUUUAUAGCCUUAUACCUCUACAAUCGGAGAGAUUGAGGUCUGCAGCGUAGAUCCUUCGGGGCUAGAUACACUUGUGCUAAGUUAUAGCUUUUCAUAGACAACUUGUUGACUAUGUUUAGUCAUGUAGCUUACCCGCUUGUGCUAUUUUACCUACGCUUAGGAUGUUGAGUCAUCACACAUCUCU